This is a long non-coding RNA of Notolabrus celidotus (New Zealand spotty), 379 nucleotides long. RefSeq lists it as uncharacterized. The record is from RefSeq and is a predicted model, not a curated record. The transcript is spliced from 2 exons. Lineage: Eukaryota; Metazoa; Chordata; Actinopteri; Labriformes; Labridae.
CAUUGAGUCUGAACGGUGCUUUAACCUGCGUUCCUGCUUCUUGUUUGGACUUUACUUUGCCAGGACAUUUAAACUCUGAUGUCGGGGGUGGGGUUUCCCUCUCUCUGCUGUAAGGCGAGUCCCAGGGGAUGCUGGCUCUGUCUUCAGACGAGACGCAGAGGCUUUUAGUGGGGCUCCAGGCAGCACAGGUGCUGCCCCUGCAUGCAUUGAUCUCUCAGUGCUUUCACUAUAGAGGAUGUCAGUCAUGACAACGGAAUACACCCAGGCAUGGCUUUAAGAUAUGCUGCAUUGUUACCACACAGUAAAGGCUGCACCCUGGAAGUAGAGGCAUCGCUGUCAAUACAUUUUUGUGUCAAAUAAAUACUGCAUGAAACUCUGA